Cricetulus griseus (Chinese hamster) is the source of this 357-nucleotide non-coding RNA. The record is from the annotation of a RefSeq genome assembly. NCBI's taxonomy places the organism in Eukaryota, Metazoa, Chordata, Mammalia, Rodentia, Cricetidae.
AUGGCUGUCCUGGUGCUGCUCUUCUGCCUGGCGACCUUGCCAAGCAGUGUCCUGUACCAGGUGCAGCUGAAGGAAUCAGGACCUGGCCUGCUGCAGCCCUCACAGACCCUGUCUCUCACCUGCACUGUCUCUGGGUUCUCUCUAACUGACUGUGAUGUACACUGGGUCUGCCAGCCUCCAGGAAAGGGUCUGGACUGGCUGGGAGCAAUAUGGGCUGGUACAAACACAGAGUACAAUUCAGCUCUCCAAUCCCGAAUCAGCAUCACCAGGGACACCUCCAAGAGCCAAGUUUUCCUAAAACUGAACAAUCUGCAAACUGAGGACACAGCCAUGUAUUUUUGUGCCAGAACACAGUGA